GGUGAGUAAUGCCUAGGAAAUUGCCUUGAUGUGGGGGAUAACCAUUGGAAACGAUGGCUAAUACCGCAUAAUGCCUACGGGCCAAAGAGGGGGACCUUCGGACCUCUCGCGUCAAGAUAUGCCUAGGUGGGAUUAGCUAGUUGGUGAGGUAAUGGCUCACCAAGGCGACGAUCCCUAGCUGGUCUGAGAGGAUGAUCAGCCACACUGGAACUGAGACACGGUCCAGACUCCUACGGGAGGCAGCAGUGGGGAAUAUUGCACAAUGGGCGAAAGCCUGAUGCAGCCAUGCCGCGUGUAUGAAGAAGGCCUUCGGGUUGUAAAGUACUUU
RNAcentral lists this ribosomal RNA (328 nucleotides) under Vibrio sp. I8K1. Its description in RNAcentral is "bacterial SSU rRNA". It matches the Rfam family "Bacterial small subunit ribosomal RNA", at positions 105 to 436 of the family's 1533-position model. The record is from RNAcentral. Lineage: Bacteria; Pseudomonadati; Pseudomonadota; Gammaproteobacteria; Vibrionales; Vibrionaceae.